CCUACGGGUGGCAGCAGCAAGGAAUCUUCCGCAAUGGGCGCAAGCCUGACGGAGCAACGCCGCGUGCGGGAUGACGCCCUUCGGGGUGUAAACCGCUUUUCGGGGGGAAGAAGGCGCGGGUCUCCCGCGCUUGACGGUACCCCCGGAAGAAGGCCCGGCUAACUACGUGCCAGCAGCCGCGGUAAUACGUAGGGGCCGAGCGUUGUCCGGAGUUACUGGGCGUAAAGCGCACGCAGGCGGCGGCGUGGGCCCGGCGUGAAAGCCCCCGGCUCAACCGGGGAAGGUCGUCGGGGACCGCGUCGCUUGAGGCCAGCAGGGGGUGGUGGAAUGCCCGGUGUAGUGGUGAAAUGCGUAGAGAUCGGGCGGAACACCCGUGGCGAAGGCGGCCACCUGGGCUGGACCUGACGCUGAGGUGCGAAGGCGUGGGGAGCGAACGGGAU
This 440-nucleotide ribosomal RNA is filed under the name uncultured bacterium. RNAcentral's name for it is "bacterial SSU rRNA". It matches the Rfam family "Bacterial small subunit ribosomal RNA", at positions 338 to 778 of the family's 1533-position model. The record is from RNAcentral.